GUGCUCACUUGGGCAGCACAGAUACUAAAAUUGGAACAGUACUGAGAAGAUUACUAUGGUCCCUACACAAGGAUGAUGUGCAAAUUUGUGAAAUGUUCCAAAAAAAA
Molecule: small nuclear RNA, 107 nt
Filed under: Castor canadensis (American beaver)
Lineage: Eukaryota; Metazoa; Chordata; Mammalia; Rodentia; Castoridae
Source: RNAcentral